UAUUUGACAAUGGGCGAAAGCCUGAUCCAGCCAUGCCGCGUGUGUGAAGAAGGUCUGCGGGUUGUAAAGCACACUAUGUUGGGCGGAGGGGAUGUAGAUGAAUGCCCUGCAAUUUUGACGUGACCACCAGCAUAAGCACCGGCUAACUUCGUGCCAGCAGCCGCGGUAAUACGAACGGCGCAAGCGUGAGUCGGAAUUCCUGGGCGUAAGGCGCGCGGAGGUGGAUUGGGAAGGUGGAAGUGAAAGCCCCGGGCUCAAGCUGGAAACUGCUUUCAAAACUGGCAAGCUAGAGUAAGGGAGAGGGUGGUGGAAUUUCCUGUGUAGGGGUGAAAUGGGUAGAUAUAGGAAGGAACAUCAGUGGCGAAGGCGACUGCCUGGACUGAUACUGACACUGAGGUGCGAAAGCGUGGGGAGCGAACAGG
Molecule: ribosomal RNA, 422 nt
Filed under: uncultured bacterium
Lineage: Bacteria
Description: partial 16S ribosomal RNA
Rfam family: Bacterial small subunit ribosomal RNA
Source: RNAcentral